UGAGGAACAUGACCUUCGGCGGGGGAUAGCCGGCCCAACGGCCGGGUAAUACCGCGUACGACCACAUGGGGACAUCCCUGAGUGGUGAAAGCAGCAAUGCGCCGAAAGAGUGCCUCGCGGCCUAUCAGCUAGUUGGUGGGGUAAUGGCUCACCAAGGCAACGACGGGUANCUGGUCUGAGAGGAUGGCCAGCCACAGUUGGGACUGAGACACGGCCCAGACUCCGUAGGGAGG
This 233-nucleotide ribosomal RNA is filed under the name uncultured bacterium. RNAcentral's name for it is "partial 16S ribosomal RNA". It matches the Rfam family "Bacterial small subunit ribosomal RNA", at positions 118 to 348 of the family's 1533-position model. The record is from RNAcentral.